UUUUCUCUUCCCUGAGUGGCGGCUAGGGUUAGCGCGAUCGCCGCCUCAUCCCCGCACGCAACCUCUCCUUUCGGCUCUCCUCCGUGGCUCCGCCUCCUCCUCUUGCGGCAUCCAACCCAUCGUCUUCUCCUACUUCCCUCUCUUAUUCUUCUGUGCCUCGACGAGGUGGGCAAGCCGGUGCACACACAAAGGGUGGUUGCGGCUACGGCUCCGAUGCGGGCGCCGUGGAGGUGGAGUCGGAGCUGCAGCAGAAGGAGGUGGAUGGCCGCGACAACAGCUUUAGCUUCGAUGAGUUCCAUCACCUCCAUUGCUAUCUCAGGUUAGCCGAUUGAUGUAUUUGAUUGCUGGCCCUUUUGUGUUGGCUGAUGGUGGCGAGAUGAAAUAAGAAUUAAACCUGAUGCUGGGACAAUAAGUAUUUGUACUAUAGAUCCACUAAACAUUGUAUUGAAAUAGCAGGCUACAUAUCUAUCUAAUAUGCAUCUGUGGUACAAGGUGAAGCUUGUUUCCUGACAGAGAACAAUAAAGAUAAGUUGGUGACACAAAGUACUGAAUAAAAAACACUUCUAAUGAUCUAUAUAAUGUGAAAUCUUUUUGUAUGUGUAGAUUUAUCGAAUAAUAUCAUAAUUCUGAUUUGUAGUUUCCUUCUGUUGGGUAUCUCACGUAGCAUGAUAUGAAGCUUCUGAAUAAUUGGUUGCAGAGUUCUUGUAUGUGUCUUGGAGUUCCAAACUUCACAUUCAUUGAGCUUAAUUUUUAUAUAUCGCUUAUGUCUUUCCAGUCAUGCAGUCGCAGGUUCUCCAUUUCAUGAUUUUAAUAGUUGACGGGGUGAGAAAUUUCAUGGCAAGAGCCAUGGUUUAUCUCAGAUGUGUAAAGGGAAAUAUAUUUGUUGACCCAAAAAUCACACUACACUGUUGCAAUUUCUCUGUCGAAAAGUGCCUUGACGAAAGCAAAAUUGGCCCCCCGUGCUAUGAUGACGCGAAGAAUGGGACAAUUUGCUCGAUCAGUUUCAAAUCAGAAACAAGAAAUUUGAGAAAUUCGUUGGAUAAGUACUGAUAUGGUGCUUUUCUAAGAAAAUUAUAUGAUUAUUAAUGCAGGUCCAUGCUCUACUCUGAUGGCUGAGGUUGGAUACACUUGCUACAUGUUUAUUUAAUUUUAUUCUAUUGGAGGAUUCAAACUCUAGACUGAUGAAGUGGUGCAUUUUGAAUUUUCUUCUUAGAUAUUGUGAAUGGUCUACUGAAGGUAUCAAUAAUAAUACAUAUUUUACAUAGUCAAGAUUCAUACUUUCCUUAUUACAUGUUGGUUUAUAUCCCCUACAUAUGUGAUGUGUGUUUAGCUUAUCGACUAUUCUUAAGUGAAUCUUAUGUGGUAUUGCAGGACUAACUUUUCUUUAGACAAUUUUGUAAUCUUUAGUUCAUUUUGGGUCAUUUCCAUUGCCUGUUAGUGUUUUUCGCUAGAGUGCUUUGCAGGCAGUUGUUUGAAAUAGAACCUUCCAGCCAUCUUACUUCUCCAAUAGUACUUUCUUGUUGAGUUUGGUUGGACGUUCUCCAAAGUAAAUUUGGGAGAACAAUAAACCAUACUUUCUAUGUUUUGAAACUAGAGCUGGCCAUGAUUAAUUCUUUUCAAGUUGAUAGUCUAUCAGAGUUUGAAUUUGCUUUUGUAUAGCAAUAUGGAAGUAUAUUAUUUCAUCAUAUUUUCCUAAAGUAGCUUCUGAUUUGUUCACAUUUGUAGAACUACACAAUCUGCACAUUCCUUCUCUUCUCCUAAUCAAUUUCAUCUCAAAUUAGGCUUUAUCCCCUGAUUAGCAUUCUGAGCUACUUAAAUUUCUUCGCCCACAUGUUUGAUUUAGGUUUUUGUUUAGACAUGACAAAUUUUUGCAAGUUAUAGACGCCACGCCUGCCGCUGUCGGGGAGCUCUUGCCUGCGCUGCAAGCCUCAUGACCUUGCAAACUCGCUCGUGCUGCUUAUACGAUACGGCCUCUCCCUACUCAGGAUGGACUGCUUCGUGCAGAUUCACUCUUCUUUGCCUGAAGGCUCCUAUGUAUCCAGGACCGGCACAAGGAAAAUUCUGGGAUGAAGAAAAAAAGCGAAAAUGCAAAUAGAUGAGAAAUCCCAACUUAUUCCUUUGGCCAUUUCUGUAACCAAAGCUAUUGGCUGGCCAACACAAAGGAGCUGAAAUUUCAUAGCGACAAAAAUAGGUGCUGGAGGUACCAUGCAAGCAAGCAUGGCGACCGCGAUCAUGCUGCAGUGGCUGGGUAUAUCCCCUCCCGCUAGCUGAGGAUGGGCUCGAUGAUGGGGCUCCUACCCUUACACAGGUAUAUUCCCACAUUGAACUCGAUUAUUGCAAUGAUUGGGUUGAUUUGGACAUACUGUGCCUUGAAUGACUUUUCCCGUUGGGCAAUUCAAAUGAUGGAAGCCUCUUCGGACCCUUCCACCUCUCCGGCCUCACCACUGGAGACUCGGAUGCGAGAACCGCCACUGCCGCCGCCGUGUCUGUCGGUGACGCUCACACAAGAAUCCAGAGGCAGUGUACCAUGGUCCUCUCCCUGAGAACAACAACUCUCUCAUGAUGCGGGACUGAUGCCACCGUCCAUGCCAUGUUCUGGCUGAUCCCCAAGGCUCCUUGCCGAUGUCCAACCAGCGCCACACAGCCAAUGGUACUGCCGACAUGAGGACGCCCACCCCCGUGUUGAUCGAGCUUUUUGACCUGAGCCUCAUGGACAAGGUCAUACGGGCAUCUGAUUUUGAUUUGCUAUGUGCUCUCUUUUCACAAGUGUAGCUUUUUGUCUCGUUUCAUGUCUCGUUUGGGGGAGCUUCAUGGUCAUGUUCGAUGAGCCUAGUUCGUCUCGGACUAACAUUGAGGAAAAGUAGUUUGGAGAGGGUACCGAGGCGACUCGCUUGGCUAUUGCUUGCGACUAAACCUCCCUCGACUGCUUCCUAACAUAGCACUAGGUUUUGCUCCUUCAAGGUAAUUAAACUUCUUUAAAAAACAUC
Triticum dicoccoides is the source of this 2987-nucleotide RNA transcript. RefSeq lists it as uncharacterized. The transcript has 7 exons. The record is from RefSeq and is a predicted model, not a curated record. Lineage: Eukaryota; Viridiplantae; Streptophyta; Magnoliopsida; Poales; Poaceae.